Molecule: RNA transcript, 2680 nt
Organism: Dioscorea cayenensis subsp. rotundata (Guinea yam)
Lineage: Eukaryota; Viridiplantae; Streptophyta; Magnoliopsida; Dioscoreales; Dioscoreaceae
Gene name: two-component response regulator-like APRR9
Exons: 10
Source: RefSeq, a predicted model, not a curated record
UGAGCAAAAAUAGAGACGAGUGGCUCCCCAGACGCCCAUGUAGUCAGUCCACCAUCGUCCUUUUUCCAUCUCCUUCUUCUCCUCCUCCUCCUCUCAUGGCCGCCGCCGCCGCCCCCUCCGGCGCCGGAAGGGCACCCUCCAAGUAUCCCUCUAUCCGAUGGGAAAGAGUCCUUCCUCGCCGAUCCCUCCGUGUUCUCCUUGUUGAGCACGAUGACUCCACUCGCCACAUCGUCACCGCCCUCCUCCGUAAAUGCGGUUAUCAUGUCGCUGCUGUGGCGGAUGGGGUGAAGGCUUGGGAGGUAUUGAUUGAGAAGGAGUUUAACUUCGAUUUGGUUCUCGCGGAGGUUGAUAUGCCUUCGCUUUCCGGAAUUGGUUUGCUAUCUAGGAUCAUGGGGACCGAGGGUUGCAAGAAUAUCCCUGUUAUUAUGAUGUCUUCGCAUGAUUCUGUUAGUGUAGUACUUAAGUGCAUGCUGAAAGGCGCUGUGGAUUUCCUUGUUAAGCCUGUUAGGAAGAAUGAAUUGCAGAAUCUAUGGCAACAUGUUUGGAGAAAGCACUGUUCAAGCAGCUCUGCAAAUGUUUCUGACAACAAUGCUGCUAGUAAUCAUAUUAGUGUGAAUGCCGGUGAGAUGUCAGAGACAGGGGAAAACAGUGAUGAAGGAAACCAUGCUUUUCAGUCUGGUGGCAGACCAGUGGUGGAUAUUGGAGUGGAUGAGAAGUCCAUGGAGCCACUACAAGAUGGGGGAGGGUAUUCUAAGGAUGAAGUGGAAGCAAAACAAGAUCAGGUUGACGAAAGAUUGACUAUGGACUUGAAUGAUGAAUCUGGAGAUAAAUCAUUAGGGAUACCUGCUGAAGUAACACUUCCUGUUCAAAAUUCUUCUUUAGUAGAACAAGGUCAGAAAGCUGAAUGUUCGUACAAAACAAUUCCUUUUAGGGACGAAGCUAUAGGUUUCAUGAGAUUAAAACAAGCUGUUAGCAUCAAUCCUAGCAACUAUUGUCACUACAAUUUUAUAAAUGAGCCUUCUAGUACUAUGAAUUGCUUCAUGGAAAAUGGUGCAAGGGAAGUUGUUUAUGAAUCUGCAAGAUCAUUUCAUAAGGAGGAUGGAUCCUAUCAUUGUUCAUCAUCAUUUAUGGAGUUUGAUGGUUGCCCGAGGCAAGAGUCCAGAGAGAGAAAUUUUUUAAAACAUUCAAAUAAUUCUGCAUUUUCAAGGUAUGGUUAUGAAAAGAUUUGUCCUUCAAAUCCACACGGUGCUUCCACUUUGUGGAUAAGAACCACCGAUUGUGUGGAUCAAUCCAUCUCACACCCUAGUACCGAUCGAUGUGAUGAUGAAAGAAAUGCUCGUCUUUCUCCUAGCAAAAGGCUGGCCUCCCCUCGAAUGAAUGUGGAUGAAACACCACUGAACUUUCAAGCCCCUCCCAAUAGCAACAAUGAUGAUACUGGCUUUUCACCUUCUGAACAACUGAAAGAGCAUGCUUGUAUUGAUCAUUCUUCCACAAGAGAGGAUUCUUCUUUUUGUCACCCUCAACUUGGGUAUAUACCAUUACCAAUUCCCAUGGGAGCCAUACCUUAUCAGACCUUGUGUGCAGGGCACCAUUCCAUCUUGCAACCAGUUUUCCAUCACGACAAUUCCUUAUCAGGCCAUGGCUCAAGAACAAUUGGAGAGCAUAUAGCUCCAUCAUGCAUUCCUGUGGAUCAAUCCAAUCCAACUGGUAGCUGUAGUCAUGAUGUGAUGAAUGUUAGUUGGAGCAAUUGUAGUGGUGAAACAAGCGCCGCAGUUGUUAAUAGAGGAAAUGCUUUGGAAAGCGGGAAUGAAAGCGGUGUUCAAAACUGCAAUAGGAAAGUCUUGGGACACGAUCAUUCUAGGCGUGCGGCUGCCUUAGUCAAAUUUCGCUUGAAACGGAAAGAGAGAUGUUUUGAAAAGAAGGUUAGAUACUUUAGUAGGCAAAAGCUUGCUGAGCAAAGGCCAAGAGUGAAAGGCCAAUUUGUACGUCAAAAAGGUGUAGGUUCCUCAAAAACAACAGACACUGAAGAAUGAUUAUGAGCAACUAAACAUGUAUAGUAUUCUCUUGAGGUUUUGUUUCCAUUGGUGGAGAGUUGAAGACCUCAGCAGGUUGAGGAUCGGCCUCUAUGGCUCUAUGGUCUUUUCAGCGUUUCAUGAGUUCUAUGGAUCAUCUGCCGUUAUAGGCGUUAUCAAACUAUCAAACCAUAAGCAUAUAUCAGGAAAUGAAGGUAUGUUUUCCUAACCACACCAUCCAUUUUCACUCAACUUAGCCUGGUUUUUUUCUGCAUGAUUAAAGUUAUAUACAGACAUGAUUAUCUUGCAAAAUCCAAACUGCAAGUUUAACAUAAGAAGUUAAAUUUUGUCAAUGCUAGGUGGGCUCAGUUUUCCAUGCCUGAUUCCAUGGCCUUUCAUUUGAGAACCAUUCAGUUACUCAAUUAUUUUGCCAGUUUUGUUAGAAUGACAACUCUCAGGUCUCAGGUGCUGAACAAUUUGUCUUCUUCCAAGCCUCAGUAGAUUCAGUCCUAUUUCUUUGAUUCCGUUCAUACUUUAUAUAACAGGAUUGUAAUAAUCCUUUAAAUGUGAGCAAUUAGAUCACCACUGACCAGAGUUAAGACUGCACCAGGUAUAAACACUAGCAUUGAAUCAAUUGAUCUGACUGGCCCCUGCUGAGUUUCAGUCAA